This 275-nucleotide ribosomal RNA is filed under the name uncultured bacterium. RNAcentral describes it as "partial 16S ribosomal RNA". It matches the Rfam family "Bacterial small subunit ribosomal RNA", at positions 399 to 691 of the family's 1533-position model. The record is from RNAcentral.
GCGUGGGUGAAGAAGGUCUUAGGAUUGUAAAGCCCUUUCAGCAGGGAAGAUGAUGACGGUACCUGCAGAAGAAGCCCCGGCUAACUCCGUGCCAGCAGCCGCGGUAAUACGGAGGGGGCUAGCGUUGUUCGGAAUUACUGGGCGUAAAGGGCACGUAGGCGGCCCGUUAAGUCAGAGGUGAAAUCCCCGAGCUCAACUUGGGAAUUGCCUUUGAUACUGGCGGGCUCGAGUCCGGGAGAGGAUAGUGGAAUUCCCAGUGUAGAGGUGAAAUUCGU